GUGAAUUAUAUGGAUACAUUGAUGGUAGAAUGUGAGGUUUUGAACAUCCAGCAAAUGUCUUCUUUGAUCCAAAUGCCAUUACUUGGUUGGCUUGGAGAACCACUUCUUCAUUGGACUUUGAGUAAACGCUAACUCCAGAGAGAUUUAACUCCAUGGGCACAUUGCAGUCAGAUCCUCCUGCUGCUGCAUGGAGCUCAACCUUGCACGAGUCAGCCCCAAAGGUGCCGCUAAGUGGCAACCCGGCAGUGUUCAAGCAAGAUAACUAUGAACAAGAAGAAACUUGACGUAUUUCCAAGCUGACUGCAUUAACGUGCGUAGAUAACGAGAACUGCAAAUAACCGAAAUGUUACCUUCCAGGUGCUCCUUCCCAUGGGAUUCUUCUGGGUGUGCCUCGUUGAAGCAUCUAUAGCAGUAUGCUUUGCCUAUCACCUUAAUGAUAGGAGCAUACGUUGGCGAUGCUGAAAGAGAAGGUGGUGGCAAGCUUCUGGCUGCCUCACCGAGCAUUGCAAAGGCAACCAGCACGGCUAAGACCAGCCAUAGCUGACCCUUUGGCUGGCGUCCAACGCUUACUUCCAUGGCUGAACAGUGCUUUCUCAAGUGAGAUGAGGAGAUGGGAGAAUGUGAAUGAUUUUGGCUUUGGUAUGGAUGGGUAUUUAUAAUGUUCAGGAUGGCGCGUGGCAGGGUCUCUGGGGAAGCAGGUGGAGCUGGUAAGGUAGUAUGGCCAAUGGAGUGAUUAGAGCCUGUACUUCCCUCAAAAAAAGAUUAGAGCAUGUACUUUGUCGCCACUUGAUUUCAGGGACAAUAUGGAAUUAGUUGUGAUUUAUAAUAACCUUUUGUGGUUGCAUGGUGUAUAUAAAUCUGCUUCUAUGUUAUUUCAGAGAAUAGCUGUUGUAGAUUUUGAA
This is a long non-coding RNA of Triticum aestivum (bread wheat), 902 nucleotides long. RefSeq lists it as uncharacterized. The record is from RefSeq and is a predicted model, not a curated record. The transcript is spliced from 2 exons. Lineage: Eukaryota; Viridiplantae; Streptophyta; Magnoliopsida; Poales; Poaceae.